UGCAGUCGAACGGUGAAGCAGAGCUUGCUCUGUGGAUCAGUGGCGAACGGGUGAGUAACACGUGAGCAAUCUGCCCCUGACUCUGGGAUAAGCGCUGGAAACGGCGUCUAAUACCGGAUACGAGCUGCGACCGCAUGGUCAGUAGCUGGAAAGAAUUUCGGUCAGGGAUGAGCUCGCGGCCUAUCAGCUUGUUGGUGAGGUAAUGGCUCACCAAGGCGUCGACGGGUAGCCGGCCUGAGAGGGUGACCGGCCACACUGGGACUGAGACACGGCCCAGACUCCUACGGGAGGCAGCAGUGGGGAAUAUUGCACAAUGGGCGAAAGCCUGAUGCAGCAACGCCGCGUGAGGGAUGACGGCCUUCGGGUUGUAAACCUCUUUUAGCAGGGAAGAAGCGAAAGUGACGGUACCUGCAGAAAAAGCGCCGGCUAACUACGUGCCAGCAGCCGCGGUAAUACGUAGGGCGCAAGCGUUAUCCGGAAUUAUUGGGCGUAAAGAGCUCGUAGGCGGUCUGUCGCGUCUGCUGUGAAAACCCGAGGCUCAACCUCGGGCCUGCAGUGGGUACGGGCAGACUAGAGUGCGGUAGGGGAGAUUGGAAUUCCUGGUGUAGCGGUGGAAUGCGCAGAUAUCAGGAGGAACACCGAUGGCGAAGGCAGAUCUCUGGGCCGUAACUGACGCUGAGGAGCGAAAGGGUGGGGAGCAAACAGGCUUAGAUACCCUGGUAGUCCACCCCGUAAACGUUGGGAACUAGUUGUGGGGUCCAUUCCACGGAUUCCGUGACGCAGCUAACGCAUUAAGUUCCCCGCCUGGGGAGUACGGCCGCAAGGCUAAAACUCAAAGGAAUUGACGGGGACCCGCACAAGCGGCGGAGCAUGCGGAUUAAUUCGAUGCAACGCGAAGAACCUUACCAAGGCUUGACAUAUAGAGGAAACGUCUGGAAACAGUCGCCCCGCAAGGUCUCUAUACAGGUGGUGCAUGGUUGUCGUCAGCUCGUGUCGUGAGAUGUUGGGUUAAGUCCCGCAACGAGCGCAACCCUCGUUCUAUGUUGCCAGCACGUAAUGGUGGGAACUCAUGGGAUACUGCCGGGGUCAACUCGGAGGAAGGUGGGGAUGACGUCAAAUCAUCAUGCCCCUUAUGUCUUGGGCUUCACGCAUGCUACAAUGGCCGGUACAAAGGGCUGCAAUACCGUGAGGUGGAGCGAAUCCCAAAAAGCCGGUCCCAGUUCGGAUUGAGGUCUGCAACUCGACCUCAUGAAGUCGGAGUCGCUAGUAAUCGCAGAUCAGCAACGCUGCGGUGAAUACGUUCCCGGGUCUUGUACACACCGCCCGUCAAGUCAUGAAAGUCGGUAACACCUGAAGCCGGUGGCCCAACCCUUGUGGAGGGAGCCGUCGA
Molecule: ribosomal RNA, 1390 nt
Filed under: Microbacterium arborescens
Lineage: Bacteria; Bacillati; Actinomycetota; Actinomycetes; Micrococcales; Microbacteriaceae
Description: bacterial SSU rRNA
Rfam family: Bacterial small subunit ribosomal RNA
Source: RNAcentral